GCCAGCAUGGCGUAGUGGUUUGAGUGUUAGUCUGUGAUUCUGGAGACCAGGUUUCGAUUACCUUCUCAGCCA
Molecule: non-coding RNA, 72 nt
Organism: Phrynosoma platyrhinos (Desert horned lizard)
Lineage: Eukaryota; Metazoa; Chordata; Lepidosauria; Squamata; Phrynosomatidae
Source: the annotation of a GenBank genome assembly